AUACGGGGGAUUCAAGCGUUAUCCGGACUUAUUGGGUUUAAAGGGUGCGCAGGCGGGAGAUUAAGUCGGCGGUGAAAUUUUGCAGCUCAACUGUAAAAGGGCCUUCGGAACUGGGUUUCUUGAGUGUAGAUGGAGGAGGCGGAAUUUGUGGUGUAGCGGGGAAAUGCAUAGAUAUCACGAGGAACUCCGAUUGCGCAGGCAGCUUACUAAACCAUAACUGACGCUCAGGCACGAAGGCGUGGGGAUCAAACAGGAUUAGAUACCCUGGUAGUCCACGCAGUAAACGAUGAUUACUCGCUGUUUGCGAUACACAGCAAGCGGCUUAGCGAAAGCGUUAAGUAAUCCACCUGGGGAGUACGUUCGCAAGAAUGAAACUCAAAUGAAUUGACGGGG
This 393-nucleotide ribosomal RNA is filed under the name uncultured bacterium. Its description in RNAcentral is "partial 16S ribosomal RNA". It matches the Rfam family "Bacterial small subunit ribosomal RNA", at positions 523 to 918 of the family's 1533-position model. The record is from RNAcentral.